CUCCAGUGACGACCUCAGUUCACUGCCACGUGUCUGGACCACAGAUCCAAGUGAUAGGACUGAGGAAAUGGGGAG
Small nucleolar RNA from Nematolebias whitei (Rio pearlfish), 75 nucleotides. RefSeq annotates it as small nucleolar RNA SNORD66. Lineage: Eukaryota; Metazoa; Chordata; Actinopteri; Cyprinodontiformes; Rivulidae. The record is from RefSeq and is a predicted model, not a curated record. The transcript has a single exon.